AAAGGUAUUAACAACAAAUACAUCAUCAAAUCAGAUAAUUGAUAAGACGAAAAGAGAGAAAACAACAAAUGAAAUGAUGAGAGUGGGUUGGUGGAAGGUGUGUCUUCUGGGUUCGGGUGCUGUUUUACGAUAGAAAUGACUUAGAAGAUGCCAAAAAGGAUGAUGGGAAGCAGUCAUUUUUCUCGUUUUAGGGUUGAGUCUCCUCCACGUCAUAUCACCAGCAUGCAACAAAACAAAUCUUAAAACGUCGAUUUGAGGGGGGGAACGUUAUUUUGUGAUGAUGACAUGUCUGAUUAGUUAUAUGCCGCGUAAGCCUUAGAGAGAGAGAGAUUCCCUUCUGCUUCUUCUUCUUCUUCCUUUCACACCUCCAUUGCCGUUUGUUGAAGGAAGGCCAAUCCAAUAUUAUAGAUUGAUUAAUCGGACAAGAUCAGCAGUUUGAUGAAUCUAUAUUCGGUGAUGUUGC
This 463-nucleotide long non-coding RNA is filed under the name Populus trichocarpa (black cottonwood). RNAcentral describes it as "long non-coding RNA (PTRI_LNC001527)". The record is from RNAcentral. Lineage: Eukaryota; Viridiplantae; Streptophyta; Magnoliopsida; Malpighiales; Salicaceae.